UACGGGGGGGGCAAGCGUUGUUCGGAAUUACUGGGCGUAAAGGGCUCGUAGGUGGCCAACUAAGUCAGACGUGAAAUCCCCAGGCUCAACUUGGGAACUGCGUCUGAUACUGGAUGGCUUGAAUUCGGGAGAGGGAUGCAGAAUUCCGGGUGUAGCGGUGAAAUGCGUAGAUAUCUGGAGGAAUACCGGUGGCGAAGGCGGCAUCCUGGACCGAGAUUGACGCUGAGGAGCGAAAGCCAGGGGAGCAAACGGG
This 253-nucleotide ribosomal RNA is filed under the name uncultured bacterium. Its description in RNAcentral is "partial 16S ribosomal RNA". It matches the Rfam family "Bacterial small subunit ribosomal RNA", at positions 524 to 776 of the family's 1533-position model. The record is from RNAcentral.